This 547-nucleotide ribosomal RNA is filed under the name uncultured bacterium. RNAcentral describes it as "bacterial SSU rRNA". It matches the Rfam family "Bacterial small subunit ribosomal RNA", at positions 355 to 896 of the family's 1533-position model. The record is from RNAcentral.
UGGGGAAUAUUGCGCAAUGGGGGGAACCCUGACGCAGCCAUGCCGCGUGAAUGAAGAAGGCCUUCGGGUUGUAAAGUUCUUUCGGUAUUGAGGAGGGUUGAUGUGUUAAUAGCACAUCAAAUUGACGUUAAAUACAGAAGAAGCACCGGCUAACUCCGUGCCAGCAGCCGCGGUAAUACGGAGGGUGCGAGCGUUAAUCGGAAUAACUGGGCGUAAAGGGCACGCAGGCGGUUAUUUAAGUGAGGUGUGAAAGCCCCGGGCUUAACCUGGGAAUUGCAUUUCAGACUGGGUAACUAGAGUACUUUAGGGAGGGGUAGAAUUCCACGUGUAGCGGUGAAAUGCGUAGAGAUGUGGAGGAAUACCGAAGGCGAAGGCAGCCCCUUGGGAAUGUACUGACGCUCAUGUGCGAAAGCGUGGGGAGCAAACAGGAUUAGAUACCCUGGUAGUCCACGCUGUAAACGCUGUCGAUUUGGGGGUUGGGGUUUAACUCUGGCGCCCGUAGCUAACGUGAUAAAUCGACCGCCUGGGGAGUACGGCCGCAAGGUUA